UGAGGAAUAUUGGUCAAUGGGCGCAAGCCUGAACCAGCCAUGCCGCGUGCAGGAUGACUGCCCUAUGGGUUGUAAACUGCUUUUAUACGGGAAGAAACCCCUCCACGUGUGGAGGAUUGACGGUACCGUAAGAAUAAGGAUCGGCUAACUCCGUGCCAGCAGCCGCGGUAAUACGGAGGAUCCAAGCGUUAUCCGGAAUCAUUGGGUUUAAAGGGUCCGUAGGCGGGUCUGUAAGUCAGUGGUGAAAUCUCCCGGCUCAACCGGGAAACUGCCAUUGAUACUGCAGGUCUUGAAUGUUUGUGAAGUAACUAGAAUAUGUAGUGUAGCGGUGAAAUGCUUAGAUAUUACAUGGAAUACCGAUUGCGAAGGCAGGUUACUAACAAAUGAUUGACGCUGAUGG
Molecule: ribosomal RNA, 400 nt
Filed under: uncultured bacterium
Lineage: Bacteria
Description: bacterial SSU rRNA
Rfam family: Bacterial small subunit ribosomal RNA
Source: RNAcentral